GACGAACGCUGGCGGCGUGCUUAACACAUGCAAGUCGAACGGAAAGGCCCUGCUUUUGUGGGGUGCUCGAGUGGCGAACGGGUGAGUAACACGUGAGUAACCUGCCCUUGACUUUGGGAUAACUUCAGGAAACUGGGGCUAAUACCGGAUAGGAGCUCCUGCUGCAUGGUGGGGGUUGGAAAGUUUCGGCGGUUGGGGAUGGACUCGCGGCUUAUCAGCUUGUUGGUGGGGUAGUGGCUUACCAAGGCUUUGACGGGUAGCCGGCCUGAGAGGGUGACCGGCCACAUUGGGACGGAGAUACGGCCCAGACUCCUACGGGGGGAAGGGGGGGGGAAUUUUGCACAAGGGGGGGAAGCCUGAUGCAGAAACGCCGGGGGGGGGAUGACGGCCUUCGGGUUGGAAACCGCUUUCGCCUGUGACGAAGGGGGAGUGAGGGUAAGGGGUAAAAAAGCACCGGCUAACUACGU
RNAcentral lists this ribosomal RNA (467 nucleotides) under uncultured bacterium. Its description in RNAcentral is "partial 16S ribosomal RNA". It matches the Rfam family "Bacterial small subunit ribosomal RNA", at positions 28 to 506 of the family's 1533-position model. The record is from RNAcentral.